Long non-coding RNA from Mesocricetus auratus (golden hamster), 1316 nucleotides. RefSeq lists it as uncharacterized. The transcript has 3 exons. The record is from RefSeq and is a predicted model, not a curated record. NCBI's taxonomy places the organism in Eukaryota, Metazoa, Chordata, Mammalia, Rodentia, Cricetidae.
GGUAACAGGAAAUCUAUACUGUUUUCCUUCUUGAUCUCCCAAUCACUGAGAAACUGGCCAGUUCUGGGAACUGCCUGUGUGGUUCUCUAUGGCUCUUAUUAGGAAGUUCAUGCUUCAGUCACAGGCUGUAAGGCUUAGCAAGAACUGGCCACAAGAUGAUCUUAAGCCAGGUCAUAGAGGGCGAGCAUAGAGUCAGCUCGGAACACCCGCCCUCAAGUCAACGCGUGCGGCUCCCGGCUUUCAGACAGGGCCAAUUUCAGAUUAGCCCAGCAAGUGAUUAUUAGGAGAAACAGGCCACUUACACGGAGGCCUCAGAGUGACAAAAACAACAAAUCUGGAAAACGGGGCUCAGGCACCAAGGAGAGACCUUGGUGGAGUGCUGGGCAGUUCAGUUCUCUGAACGUUCUUGGCAGAUAGAGGGGCCGGCGCCUUUCGGCCGCCACGGAGGGGAGAGUAAGAGGAAAUGCGACAGAGCAUGCGGUGCCAAAAAUGAUCACGGAAAGCUGCAGCAUCAACGCUGUGAACCGGAGCGUCGUGGGGCAGGGACGCAGAUGGAUCAGGCAGAUCCAGAGUGCGCUGCAGAGGCCUCAGACGUUUAAAAGCGUGCCGAUCAGGAACGGAGGUUUUUACCCACGUGCGUGUCAGCCGUGCAUUGCACCGUCCAGGGGUAGACACACAGGAGAGUUGCUCAGAGACCGUCUGGGCUCCUGAGCUGGAGUGCCCUGCCGAUAACAAGCCGCAAAGCAAAGCUGAAGCAGAGGCCUUCCUAAAGGGCUAAGUCUGAGUGACAGUGGCUGGGGAGAUGCCUUCACUGGAUAUGUUAACCGUUGGAAAUGGUCCCCACCUGCUCCUGUUCUGAGUGAUUUUCCCAGUAGGUGGCGCUACGUUGAGAUGCUAUGAAACUUUCAGAAGGCCACGAGAGGACACUCAACAGAAGGCAAGGAUUCUAAAGAGAACAGCAGGAGUGAACUUCUGACGGGGACUUCCAAGCGUCUAAGCAGCUUGUUAUUGGAAAGAAUCAUCUUCUGGUGAAUCGAACCACCGGAGCACCUAGCUCUGAAUUAUGGCAACCCCCCCCCAGGAUGGAUCAGGGUCAUCGUGGCAUAAAUAGCACACUGACACAUCAUACCAUGCUUUUUUUCUUCUCUCCUAUGUAUUUAUUUUGGUUUUUGGAGACAGGGUCUCUCUAAACUCACACUGUAGACCAGGCCGGUCUCAGAUUCACAGAGAUCCAUCUGCCUCUGCCUCUGCCUCCCGAAUGUGGGGAAUAAAGGUUGGUGCUACCACGCCAAUUUUUUUGUUUGUCUGUUUUAGGG